GCUCGUUUCCGCGUGAAGUUAGCGCAUUUCCCUCCAAAACUGUAGGUGCCUGUAUAAAUGCCUGAGAGACUUUUCACUCUGGUCCGAACUGCUCUUCUCUGAGGACGCGAAUAUGAACGAGAGCAGCCAGGAGCUGAAAGUGUGGGCAGAUGAACAGGCUGCUGAGGACGAGUUGGACAACGGUUUCCUAAACUGAAUCCUGAUUUCCUGUGAUCGAGUUUUGUGGACUGACAGUUUGCAUGGUUGGUGCUCGGCCCAGGACAGGAAAGACACCUGGUCCAAUAAGGUGAUGGAUGGUUGACAGGACAAAUCACCAAGAUGAACAAGACGAGCCAAACAAUGGAGAGGGGCCACCACAGGAGCCUGAAGGGAAAGUAACGAGAGCAGCCAGGAGCAGAAAGCGUGGGCAGAGGAACAGGCUGCUGAGGACGAGUUGUAUGCCGGCUUCCUAAACUGAAUCCUGAUUUCCUGCAAUCGAGUUUUGUGGACUGACAGUUUGUAUGUUUACAAAUUAGAAGCCAAGAUGUUGAAUAGUUGUCAUCAAAUCCUAUUUUGAUGGCAGGAUAUGGCUGUGUUCAGUCAGUGAAUGCUAGAGGGACAGCGUACCAUCAUGCCUCUGUGUUUUCACCCUGUUGAUACACAACUCGAACAGAAGACAAAACAAUAAACCUGCACUUUGUUUUCAGUCUCCACGCUGGUUGUAAACAUCAACAUAUAGCUGAAAUGAAAUUCAAGCAAAUGGAUCAAUAUAUUAUAAUGUUUUGAGGAAUAUAAGACAUUAACAUCCUGUCAUACUGUUCAGUGAGGAACUGGUUGCCUGCAAUAUUCUGCAAUAUUGUGCAGACUGCCUUCAUAUCUCCACAUCUGUACUCUGCUGUCCCUGCCCUCUCGAAGGUUGGUCAACACACACACACAGUGUGAGUUACAAAUACACAUUUCGUUAUGGACCCGCCCGUUGAAACUUUGCUCAUGGUCGGACCUCCGAAAUUAUGACCUCAGUAUUUCUAAAAUCCUGGUUAGGGCCCUGCACUUAAGUCUUAACUCCUCAACAAUAGAUGCAAAGCAAUGUGUACACCGGUGUGUUGAUAAUAAGGAUACGUGUCCUGCAAGACACAUUUAUGCACAUCUUUUCUUUUGCUUGUUACUCUGUUGACGUCCUGAAUCUAUUUGCUUGGCAUUCAGUGACCUCUAGUGGCAAUUUCAGGCCUAACACAUGAGCUGUGAGCAAAAGUGAUGGAUUGCUGUCCAGGUUUUGGUAUUUGGUAUGUACUCAAAAACCCCAAGAGCAUAAUUAUCUCAGCCGCAUGCUCACAUUACACCAGUAGAUGUUGUUGUUGUUGUUGUCUCUAAUAGCUCUUUUAACAGUUAUUCAACUAAUUUCUGUUUUUAUGGAGUUUAAAUUCUGUUUAUGGCUGCAACUAAUUAAUCAACUAACUGCUUGAUUCGUCAUGGAGUCUAUUAAAUAGAGAAAACUGGCAAGCACACCUUACUGCAUCAGUCCAAACAGCUCAAAGCUCAAGAAUAAUUAGUAUUCAGAAGCAGCAAACAAAAGUAACACAUUUUCUUACAUUUGACAAGCCAAAACUAACUAGCUAAUAGUUGAUGACUGUAUUUUUGUAUAUUUUUAAAAAAGAAACAACAAGAAAAAACAUCAUGAUCCAAAACUUUCUCUCAACAUUUUUUCAUUCUUUUCCAGGGUUGUUUUUUAUUUGUAUUGAAAAAGAGGGAAAGUUAAACAAAACGUUUUAAAGAUGGAAAAGAAGCGAUAAUCAAAAGGUUGCAAAAAAAUGAAUAAUAAUCUUUAUGUAGGUCACUGAAUGCUCUGAAGUGCUUUAUACUAAUAAAACCCUGCAGAUGGUGGAUGUAUUUGAAGGUGACCUCAACAUUUGUGGCCACACAGAUACACAACUAGGCUUACAUAAAUCCAAGUUACUAUAUAUGUGUGUGUGUGUGUUAAAGAUAAUAGAAGAUGCUGAUAGUUGAAGGACAGCCUCAUCAGCCACAGGGUCCCAGAGAGGGGGAUAAGGGAGAAGAGGAGGCCGGGAUGGGCCAGAGGAGAGCGGAUGAGACAAAAGGAGAUGAGAGAGGUGGAACCCAGGUCUAUGCCCAGGAAUAACUCACAGGAGCUACCAGGCCCCCCUGCCCAGCCUGCGAGUGGCAUCAUCUGAAGGGCACCUUCCCUGGACCUGAAUGAGCGAUGGUGUCCUUGAAGCUUGUGUGUGUGUUUUUUUUUGUUUUUUUUUUUAUGUGCGUGUCAUACACAUGGAUUGGCAUCCUUCCCCUUACUGCUGGCAACCCUUCAGCGUGUUAGGGGAAUGGACGGGGGUGCCACUGGAGAAUGAUAAAGUAGUCGCAAAAGACAGGAGCUGUUGCAUCCAUGUCUGCACCACUGGACCAAACCCAGCGUCCGUCCAGCCACAACAGCACUUCUCCACUUAUGGUAUCAAAUGAAUUACAUUUUUGACUCGUCUCUGUUGUCUCCAGCCUACUGACCCUCCAAUUAUGUUACAUUCUUCCAUUAUUAAGUUAAAUGCUCCCCUUUGAUUGAAGAAGAAACUAUUUUUUCUUUAUCUACUCUGUUUUGUCAUUUCAGUGAGUCUGUUGACGCAUAUUGUUUCUUUUAGUAAGCGUAAAUGACUGAGAUACACAUCCCCCUCUUGUCCUUGUUAUUGCUGUUAUGUAACCUUUAUUAUUCACUGCAGUCUCAUGAUUUGAAUUAAAAUUUGGGUUGCCUUCCACCUUGCCUUUUCGUUGUAUUCAAUGUUUUUGUACUGCAGCAUAAAAUCUCAGAGGAUAACAAUGAAUUCAUCCCGCAAACAAGAGUCUAAGCCUUUUAUAUUGUAUUCCUCUUUGCCAUGGUCCUUCCAUUGUUGUCUGUUAAAAACACAGUUAUGAGCCAAGCUGUUGUUCCCUUUAUCACAACGAACACGGCAGCGGUAGCUGAUCAAACCCACCGUGACGUCACCCAUCGUUGAUUGGAUUGCUGUUUCAAAGCUUCCAGUUUGGGCGUUAUGACAUCCACCAUCUUGCUUUUUUGGAUGAGACGCUGGAGCUGUGGAGGACAUGCAUUACUAUACCUCUUUCCUGGAUCUGCCUGUCAGUUAAAAGGCAGCCGCACCCUGAAGUGCAGCCCGCUUUGUCGUAUGUUUUACUCUCAGUGUUGUGCCGCCAGUUUGUCUCACAUUUACAGCCCUGAUGAGACUAUAGUUUGUGGCCUGAAGGGGCCCCUGACCAGCAGUGGCUGACUGCUGUUAGACAAGAGGGCCCGGCUGAGAAGUUUAUGAUUAUGUGUGUGUGUGUGUAAGAGAGAGAGAGUGCUUGUGAAUGAGGCUCUGUGCUCUCCUCCAAACACGUCUUCGCCCAAGGCAGUCAAAUGAACCCUAUCCCAUAAUAGCCAGGGUUCUGCCCCGAGGAGAGGUGACAGCGGGCCAGGCUGGAGUCGUCAUGGCGAUGGCCCGUGUGGAAAGUCGAUACUUGAGACUUGAUUUUAUCCAACAUCUUGGACUUGUUAUUCCUGCAGCGGUUUUCCUGUGCUUCGGCUGCCGCGCUAAGGUGGCCGUGCAUGCAUGGGCAGGGCACUGAAGAUUGUGGCUACGGUGCAGGAACGCUCCUCUUGGCCCUGCCGCUGCACAAACACAGACGGCAGCUAUUCUGGCCACCGUCCACCGACACACACCUCCACACCCAGCCAAAGUCAUCUGGACUGAGACUGCUAUCAAAUAACAGCCUUCUCUCUCCCCCGCUCCCUCCAUCGGUGACUCCUUUGCUGCUGACCACACAGUCGCAGGCAUUUUGGCUCCCAACACUUACUCUACCUACUUCUUUCUUGCGCUCGUAGCUCAAGAAGACAAACAUUAUUUCUUUAUUCAAAACUCACUGAUGCAAGAGUGACGCAAAACGCUCCAACGCUUGGACGGUGCCAGAUACCAAUGCACAAAUGGUAAACAGUGUUGCGUUGGGUUGCGUUCGGCUCCAGCGGUGCAUCCAGACAAAUUGUGUGAAUGUUGAUGUAACUGUAAAAAUACAAAAGGCCUCUUAAACUGACCGGUGUGGACGGGGCUGAGGAAGGAGGGCUUUUGGUUGCAUUAGCAGUCAUGAAUUAAUGCUACAUUUCAGCUCACUUUAAAGGUUCAGAACAAGCCUAGAUUUUCUUCGAUACUUUUUUCCCGUCUGGGCAUUUAAAGGUGAGUCGUUUUUUUUCUUUUUUUUUUUUUUUUUUACUUCAUAAAGACAUUCAUGGACUCUGGGUUUAAAAUACACCCUCCACAAAGUGCCAAGGGUCUGGGAGGAUUUGGCCCAUUUACAGCCCUCUCCUACUCCUCCUACCACUACAUGGCUAUCCAUGCUAUAUCCCCUCCAUCCCUGCAGUCUCUCUUGUCCUUGAUCUGGUUUAAAUAACAGGCACUGCUGCCAUAAUUAUGAUUUUAUCUCAUUUAACAUCGCUGGAUUAAAGUGUUUCAAGGUUGGACAGAUUGGAAAUAAAGAGGGAUUUGAGCGAGAGUUAAUGAAUUAUGCCGACUGGACAUUAGUCUAAAUAAUUGAUUGUCUCUACGAUAUUAAAGCCAUGUGGUGAUUAGCAAUUUAAAUGUCUUGAGGGGGAGUUUUAUUACGUUCUAUAUAGGCUAUGUAAAAAGGAAAAAUAAAACUGCUACUUGUCAGGCCAUGCCUCUGUAAUGUGUGUUCAAAAGGCAUAUUUAUUCCCUCAUUGCUUCAGAUGCAUAAAUUAUGUAGUUGACUUGGUGCGAAACUGUUUUAUUUUUCCGAAACGCAUCCCAGCUGCUGCAACACUGUGAUGCAUGAUCAAAUGAAAUUACAUAAGUUAAGGAACAUGAGAUCCCAACAGUAGUGGCCGAAGCUCCUCUGUACAAAUCGUACACUUUUAAACAAAACAUUUUUAGAUAUAAAUUGUGUGGGUUUCAACUGACCAGUAACAUAAAUUCAUUGUCUACGUAAAUAAUAUAGGAGACGCACAGGUUCUCACUUUGAUAUUGCAUUAAAGACACAGUCUGAAAUGUUAACUAUGUAUGGUGAGAGGUAGUAUGUUUCAGAUGAGAAUAAUUCCUCUAUUAUCUAAAAAAAAAAACCGUCAUUUCAGUCAUCCUCAUUAUAGACAUUACAGUCUCAUUACAUGUUGGACAAAGUAGACUUAUUAAUUUAAUCUGUACAAGUUUGAUUAGUCUACUUGGUAAUUUUGAGGUAAUCUGAGGUAGCCUCAUUUUUUUUAAGUACUUGUGUACUUGUGCUGUAGGACAAACAUGUUAUUUUGAAUGUUUGAAAAGUUCAUGUGUCAGCAGAAAUAAGUUAAAAAAAGGUUAAACGGCCAUGUCAAAAUGCAUUUGUCAAGUGAUAACUAAGAUAAAAAAAAAAAAGUUUCAAUUAUUUAGAGAAGGUUACACAGAUAAAAUUGUAGGCUAAUUGUGUCUUGGGUACUGAAACUCAGUAUGUUCAUGCUUUGAAAUGUGUAAGUGUUGUUUGCACUGUUUCAAAUAGGACUCGAUAUUAAAAAGAAACAGAGCCUCCUGCUGUUUUCCACAUUCUUCUCCCACUCCUAUCCGCCACUGUUUAGGGGAAGAUCUACAACUGAGAAAACUGCAUCUACUAGUGAUGAUCAUGUGUUAUGAUUGAAAGUUCCAGAACAGCUUUUGAAUGGACCUCGUGGUGUGAUUGACUGAAUAUUACUUAAUGUUUUAUGACGCUGUUACAGUUUUUAUUUAAUUGCUACGUUUAAAGGUAAAGGCCUUGCAUCCAACCUCCUACUCUGAAGUAAAAGUGCAUUUCAAGUACAAGCCUAAUCAACAAGAUUAAUUUAAAGUCACAAAAGUCAAAGCAGUACAUCCAGAAAAUGGUGCCUGUAAGUGUGAAAUUAUCACGUGUUGUAUUACAGGUAUUACUAAUUACUGAGGCGGUAGCUUUUUACUGCUGUAUCUGGUUGGGGUGCAGCUAACUGUAGACUGUAGUAUUUUUAUCCUGUGCUGUAUAAAGUUCACAAAUGUAAAAAGAUAAUGUAUGAAAAUGUUACUUUAGUGAAAAAUAAAGUCACCUAUACCAAUAGUACUUUAGUAUAAGACUGUACAAUUUAAUGACAUGUAUGUAAACAAUGCAUAUCAGGUUAAACCCAUUAUUGACCCAGCCAAUUAUUAUACACAAUAUUAAGCAUUUUACUGUUUAUUGGAAUCAGUAUUAUUUUAUUUCUUUUAUCUGACUGCUGAUAAGCUAAAUUAAAUUUGAAAAAAACAAAAAAACAAAACAUCCUACCUUGUGUUGAGUUUUUUUUAAAUAAUACGUUUAUGAUGUUUAUAUAUGUAAAAUCUUUAUACAAUAACUGGCUGCUAAAUGGAUGUAGAAGUAAAACAUUUCCUCUGAAAUGAAGCAGUGACAAUGGAUAAAUUAGCAUGAAAGCAAAGGACUCAAGUGCCUUAUAUCUAUUCAUCUCUAUCCAUCAAACUCCUCAAAUAAAUGUGUGGAUUUAACU
Acanthopagrus latus (yellowfin seabream) is the source of this 6472-nucleotide long non-coding RNA. RefSeq lists it as uncharacterized. The transcript is spliced from 7 exons. Lineage: Eukaryota; Metazoa; Chordata; Actinopteri; Spariformes; Sparidae. The record is from RefSeq and is a predicted model, not a curated record.